RNAcentral lists this transfer RNA (76 nucleotides) under Ensifer meliloti. RNAcentral describes it as "Sinorhizobium meliloti tRNA-Thr". It matches the Rfam family "tRNA". From Rfam's summary of the family: Transfer RNA (tRNA) molecules are approximately 80 nucleotides in length. The record is from RNAcentral. Lineage: Bacteria; Pseudomonadati; Pseudomonadota; Alphaproteobacteria; Hyphomicrobiales; Rhizobiaceae.
GCCCUCGUAGCUCAGUGGCAGAGCAACCGCCUUGUAAGCGGUAGGUCGACAGUUCGAUUCUAGUCCUGGGGCACCA